This 267-nucleotide ribosomal RNA is filed under the name Parapetrolisthes tortugensis. RNAcentral describes it as "partial 12S ribosomal RNA". The record is from RNAcentral. Lineage: Eukaryota; Metazoa; Arthropoda; Malacostraca; Decapoda; Porcellanidae.
UAAUCGAUAAACCACGAAAUAUCUUACCUAUAAUAUUAUUUUGUAUACCGUUAUUAUUAGGUAGCUCUGAGAAGAAUAGAUACUAAAAUUUUCAAGAAAGUAUAUUAGAUCAAGGUGCAGACUAUAUAUAGGCAAGAAUGGGUUACAAUAAUUUUUGUUUAAAUGAAUUUAUAUAUGAAAAUAAAUAAUGAAGGUGGACUUAAUUGUAAUUUUAUAUUAAUAAGUUAAAAUGAUAUAAACACUUAAACGUGUACAUAUCGCCCGUCG